UGUUUUUAGUGUCUUAUCUGAGAAACUGUUGCCAAAUCUAAGGCCAUGAAGAUUUACUCCUAUAUUAUCAUAAAUUAAGUGGAAGCACUGGUAAAGCAACAAUUAAUGCACCAUCAUUGGGCUCUGGAUGGAUGACUGGGAGUGCAACUGUGAGUGAUAUAGGAAAUCUGGGAAGCAGGAAGGGAAAUGAGGUUUGAUGUGGUUGAGCAGAGUAGGAGGUGAGUACAUCUGAUUAUUCUCUUCAGUGGAUGAUUGAGGA
Molecule: long non-coding RNA, 259 nt
Filed under: Mustela putorius furo (domestic ferret)
Lineage: Eukaryota; Metazoa; Chordata; Mammalia; Carnivora; Mustelidae
Description: lncRNA (ENSMPUG00000027478.1)
Source: RNAcentral